Long non-coding RNA from Oncorhynchus tshawytscha (Chinook salmon), 1188 nucleotides. The record is from Ensembl. NCBI's taxonomy places the organism in Eukaryota, Metazoa, Chordata, Actinopteri, Salmoniformes, Salmonidae.
CAGAGACUAAGAUAGCUUUAAGAUAAGCAGAUAAGACAAACUUUAUUGUCUAGUACGUUUAAACAGAAUGAAAAUGUGUCAUUGACGGUCAGAGUUACAAUAAAAGGAUAAAAAAAUAGGGAUAAAACAAACACGUCAAACAUUUACCUGUCAGACUGAAAUGUCAGAAUGAAACACAUCAAACAUCUACCAGUCAGACUGAAAUGUCAGAAUGAAACACAUUAAAUAUUUACAUGUCAGAAUGCAAUGUCAGAAUGAAACACAUUAAAUAUUUACAUGUCAGAAUGCAACACAAUAAAUAUUUACGUCUGAAUGAAACACAUUAAAUAUUUACGUCUGAAUGAAACACAUGAAAUAAACAUUUACAUGUCAGAAUGAAAUGUCAGAAUGAAACACAUGAAAUAUUUACGUCAGAAUGAAACACAUGAAAUAUUUACAUGUCAGAAUGAAACACAUGAAAUAUUUACGUCAGAAUGAAAUGUCAGAAUGAAACACAUGAAAUAUUUACAUGUCAGAAUGAAACACAAAUAUUUACAUGACAGAAUGAAAUGUCGGAAUGAAACCCAUUUUUAAAAUUUUAUUUCACCUUUAUUUAACCAGGUAGGCGAGUUGAGAUCAAGUUCUCAUUUGCAACUGCGACCUGGCCAAGAUAAAGCAAAGCAGUGUGACACAGACAACACAGAGUUACACAUGGAAUAAACAAUAAACAAGCCAGUAACAAGCCAAUAAACAAAUCAAUGACACAGUAGAAAAAAUAAAGUCUAUAUACAGUGUGUGCAAAAGGCAUGAGGAGGUAGGGAAUAAAUAGGCCAUAGGAGCGAAUGAUUACAAUUGAGCAGAUUAACACUGGAGUGAUAAAUGAGCAGAUGAUGAUGUGCAAGUAGAGAUACUGGUGUACAAAAGAGCAGAAAAGUCAAUAAAAUAAAAACAUGACACAUUUACAUGUCAGAAUGAAACAAACAUUUACAGUGGGGAGAACAAGUAUUUGAUACACUGCCGAUUUUUCAGGUUUUCCUACUUACAAAGCAUGUAGAGGUCUGUCAUUUUCAUCAUAGGUACACUUCAACUGUGAGAGGCGGAAUCUAAAACAAAAAUCCAGAAAAUCACUUUGUAUGAUUUUUAAGUAAUUCAUUAGCAUUUUAUUGCAUGACAUAAGUAUUUGAUCACCUACCAACCAGUAAGAAUUCC